CACUUCGGUGUGAGUAAAGCGGCGGACGGGUGAGUAACGCGUAGGAAUCUACCUAGUAGUGGGGGACAACUCGGGGAAACUCGAGCUAAUACCGCGUACGCCCUACGGGGGAAAGCGGGGGACCUUCGGGCCUCGUGCUAUUAGAUGAGCCUGCGUUGGAUUAGCUAGUUGGUGGGGUAAAGGCCUACCAAGGCGACGAUCCAUAGCUGGUCUGAGAGGAUGAUCAGCCACACCGGGACUGAGACAUGGCCCGGACUCCUACGGGAGGCAGCAGUGGGGAAUAUUGCGCAAUGGGCGAAAGCCUGACGCAGCCAUGCCGCGUGUGUGAAGAAGGCCUUCGGGUUGUAAAGCACUUUCAAUUGGGAGGAAAGGUUCACGGUUAAUAACCGUGAGCUGUGACGUUACCUUUAGAAGAAGCACCGGCUAACUCCGUGCCAGCAGCCGCGGUAAUACGGAGGGUGCAAGCGUUAAUCGGAAUUACUGGGCGUAAAGCGCGCGUAGGUGGUCUGUUAAGUCGGAUGUGAAAGCCCCGGGCUCAACCUGGGAACUGCAUCCGAUACUAGCAGACUAGAGUGCGGGAGAGGGAGGUAGAAUUCCACGUGUAGCGGUGAAAUGCGUAGAUAUGUGGAGGAAUACCAGUGGCGAAGGCGGCCUCCUGGCUCGACACUGACACUGAGGUG
This 680-nucleotide ribosomal RNA is filed under the name uncultured marine bacterium. Its description in RNAcentral is "bacterial SSU rRNA". It matches the Rfam family "Bacterial small subunit ribosomal RNA", at positions 76 to 753 of the family's 1533-position model. The record is from RNAcentral.